This 343-nucleotide ribosomal RNA is filed under the name uncultured Glomeromycotina. Its description in RNAcentral is "eukaryotic LSU rRNA". The record is from RNAcentral. Lineage: Eukaryota; Fungi; Glomeromycota.
GAUCACCUUUUGAGCUCGGUCUCGUGGGUUUUGAAGAGUUUCAAAGCCUUCGGAUUCGCGGGAUUGGAAUCUCUCGGUGUACUUUUUCGUACGGUUAGUCAACAUCGGUUUUGAAUGUCAUAAAAUGACUGGAGGAAUGUAGCUUCGAUCUCGUAUUGAAGUGUUAUAGCCUUUGGUAGAUGUGAUGUUUGAGACCGAGGAUUGCAACGGAUACCCUUCAGGGCUAUUCGCCUGAUCUCUGAUACGUUGCCUUGAUGUUGAAAGCUUGCUUAUGAUGUUAGGGUAUUACGGUCAAAAGGUUAGAACGAAUUACAUUCGUUAAGGAUGUUGAUGUAAUGACUUU